AAAGCGCGAUAGGUAAUGCGAAUUGCAGAAUUCAGUGAAUCAUCAAAUCUUUGAACGCAUCUUGCACUCUUUGGUAUCCCGAAGAGUACACCUCUUUGAGUGUCGGUUCUACCACAAUCUAGCUUCGUGCUGAAAAUGAUACUGGUCUCAGUUGCUCUGAGUCUAUCUAAAUUCAUAAACACUAUGAAUUCACACCGGGGUCUUCUGGUUUUCAGAACCGGUUCCUAUGCUGAUAAUUGACUUCGGUCACUAUUUUCUGCAUUGGUAAUCGUUCUGCCACUCGACCAUUCAACCGAUCGUAAUUUCUAAUUGUGUCUGUCGGUUCAAGGAUUGAACACACCUUGAAAAACAAAUCUUUUUGUUUUUUCUUGAUCUUGACCUCAAAUGAAGUGAGAGAACC
RNAcentral lists this unclassified non-coding RNA (400 nucleotides) under uncultured fungus. Its description in RNAcentral is "sequence contains ITS1". The stretch from base 1 to 105 matches the Rfam family "5.8S ribosomal RNA", at positions 50 to 154 of the family's 154-position model. Lineage: Eukaryota; Fungi. The record is from RNAcentral.